Xenopus laevis (African clawed frog) is the source of this 107-nucleotide non-coding RNA. NCBI's taxonomy places the organism in Eukaryota, Metazoa, Chordata, Amphibia, Anura, Pipidae. The record is from Rfam.
GUGCUUGCUUUGUCAGCACAUAUACUAGAACUGGAAUGAUACAGAGAAGAUUCGCAUGGCCGCUGUGUAAGAAUGACACUCGAAUUUGUGAAGUGUUCCAUAUUUUU